GCGCGCACUCGUGCGCGUCGCACGGCCUAACGAACCCCGGCGCGAAAAGCGUCAAGGAACACUCAAAACGCCGCCCGCCCUCGGUGCCCCGUUCGCGGCGUGCACCCGGGGGAUCGGACGCGUGUCGAAAUCAAAACGACUCUCGGCAACGGAUAUCUUGGCUCUCGCAUCGAUGAAGAACGCAGCAAAAUGCGAUACUUGGUGUGAAUUGCAGAAUCCCGUGAACCAUCGAGUUUUUGAACGCAAGUUGCGCCCGAAGCCAUUAUGCCGAGGGCACGUCUGCCUGGGCGUCACGCACAUCGUCGCCCUCCGCCUCGGCCCGUAAAGGGAUCGCGGGUGUUGGGUCGGAUAUUGGCCCCCCGUGCGCUUCGGCGCGCGGUCGGCCCAAAUGUGAUUCGGCAUCGACGCGUGCCGCGACGAUUGGUGGUUGAAGAACUCAACUCGCGCGUUGUCGCGGCGUCGUUCGGCUCGAACGUGUUGACCCCGACGGUGCAUCGCACCUC
RNAcentral lists this ribosomal RNA (503 nucleotides) under Fraxinus excelsior (European ash). RNAcentral's name for it is "eukaryotic LSU rRNA". The stretch from base 138 to 293 matches the Rfam family "5.8S ribosomal RNA". Lineage: Eukaryota; Viridiplantae; Streptophyta; Magnoliopsida; Lamiales; Oleaceae. The record is from RNAcentral.